GAAACAUUUGGCUGGCAGAUGCCAGAGGUGACACUAAAAAUAUGAAAAUAUUGAUCGAUCUGAGUAUGAAAGUAACUGCAGAAAGAUGAUAUAGUUUUCUGUCAUUUAUUGGCUUCAUUUGUUUUUUUAUGUUUUCUCAUUGUGAAAGGUCUAAAAGAUUAGAAAGAAAGAGCAACAUUCAGAUUUUCAACGACAGAAAGUAAAGGAUGGGUUUUAACUAAUAAUGAUAAGUCAUUUAGUGGUGUUACAAGUAGAAACGUUUAACA
Molecule: unclassified non-coding RNA, 266 nt
Filed under: Hevea brasiliensis (rubber tree)
Lineage: Eukaryota; Viridiplantae; Streptophyta; Magnoliopsida; Malpighiales; Euphorbiaceae
Source: RNAcentral